Molecule: long non-coding RNA, 2042 nt
Organism: Gadus macrocephalus (Pacific cod)
Lineage: Eukaryota; Metazoa; Chordata; Actinopteri; Gadiformes; Gadidae
Exons: 3
Source: RefSeq, a predicted model, not a curated record
UCUCAACAAGAAACUUUAAAGACAGGUCUUCCUCCAACAUAAAGUCAAGGUCUUUGUAUGAGCAAACUAAUUCUACUGGCCUUUUAUGUAAUGUAUGGAGUUAGGGCAAGGAAUGAAACCAGGCAGGGUUCUGCUAAAAAGGUUUUUCGUUGUCGUCUUGUAGCUUUAAAAUUGUCUGAUCAGGUGACAAUCGAUAAGCAUAAAGGUGUAUAUUUAACAUGGCAACUUUAGAAAGUUUGUUUGAAUGCCUCCCACUGCACAGUCCAUGCUGAUAAAUCACUGGCUGUAGUUUCUAUAAGGCAACAUUGUUGUAGUUCAACUAUACCCCAAUAUUAUGAAUUCAGAGUACCGUCACAGUGGAUUAGUGUCCUACUGGUUUAGUGUCUUCAGCCACCAGUGCAAUGGCUCCCUCAAUAAUGGGAUUACCACGAUCAGCAAGCUUUGUGUCAACAAGCUUGUGAGGCCACAGUGUCGGUGAAAUCCCUUUAACUUGCCGGUGCUUCCCGUGCUACAGGUGCCCAUGGGCCAAGGUUUCUGUCCUCUAACCCUUUGGGUCUAUUAUGAUGCUAGCAGGGAGAUUAUGAGUAAAUGGUGAAUAUCCUCAUCAUUAUGGGUCCAUCACCAUCCACUGCACAAUGAUAUGAACAUGAAAAAUGCAAUUCCUUUUAUUUGACUCCUGUGAAAUAAAAGUCUCAAUGCACUGGGAUGGAAUUCAGUCAGAUCAUGAAGAGAAGGGCCCAAAUCCUGGAAGAUGUCGAACUCCUCGAAUGACGUGAAUAGUGUUGGGUUUCAUCUCGGACAUGAAGCCGCUCCUGCAGCUUUGCUUUCAGCUCCAGUUAGUGCUGAAUCAUCUGUGAAGACCACAUGUGUUUUCAUUGUGUGGGAGCUGUCAAUCUUUUCUAUAAUUCCAUUUGAAUUUCAAACCAUAUUAUUGUUUAUAUUCAAAUUAUUAGUCUAUUAUUUAGGGGUGCAACGGAUCACAAAACUCAUGGUUCGGAUUGUGUCACGGUUUUUGAGUCACGGGUCGGAUCAUUUUCGGAUCAACAACAACAAUAAAGAUAACAAGACAAAUGUGACUUUAAAUAAAAUCUUCAAAUGUGUAAAAACAAAAUAAAGUGAACAAUUAGCGAGAAGUCUACAACCAAACAUAAACGCGUCCGGUUCCGGUUUCUGCUUCAAUGGGAUUUACGGGACGCCAAAUAAAACACAACAGAAACUGUAUUUCGCUACGAUACUUGAUGAUGUUGUAAUACUGGAAUAGUCCUUUAAACAUGCGCUGAUCAUGUGAACGCGCAACUUUUUUUUUAUCAGCCGAUCCGCGGAUCACUUGCUUCCCGAACCGUGAGGGUUGAUCCGUACAGAUCACGGGUAACCCGUGAACCGUUGCACCACUACUAUUAUUACUAUGUACCUAUACACAGUAUACACAGGCUUAUGUCAGAGUCUCCGUUGUCUGGUAAUUACCGGUCAUUGACCGGAAAAAAAAUGAGGAGGACCGGAAAUUCUAAAUGUCUCCGAUCAGAAUGACCAAUGGAAAUAAUUCUCUCUGCGCAAUUUGAAUUGUGUUUAAAUAUGAUACUGUGGUCAUUUCUUUAGCCAAUUCAUCUAAAACAAUGAGGGUUUCGAUUGACCCGACCCGGCCAGACCUGCAGGCCGGGUCGUGCCGUUAUUUCCCACCACUAUCCUCGAUUUGUGUCUGGCCGGGCAUUUGAUCGAGCAUUUGUGUUUUUUUUAAUCAUUGCUUUAUUGGCCUAAUCUGAAGAGAAAUCUAUGCCAUAAACAGAAAUAUUAUAGGCCUUUAUUACACGGGUCUUCUCAAUGCCAUGGAACGCUCCGUUCACUAGCAUGGGUAGUAAGUAGUUCAGUAACUUGUCAACCCCUGCGUCUUUGGCGGACUAUUUCGCUGCUGAUCAACACUACGAAUGCUGGUAACGAAUAAUUUGUAAAAAGACACACCAUGUGAAGUUAUUUUUUCAUUUUGGCAAGUAGCUGUGUAAUAAGCGGGAUAAUGUAUAGAACGUCGCCGGUCAUUAUCGAAAAUA